This 860-nucleotide ribosomal RNA is filed under the name uncultured bacterium. Its description in RNAcentral is "bacterial SSU rRNA". It matches the Rfam family "Bacterial small subunit ribosomal RNA", at positions 8 to 860 of the family's 1533-position model. The record is from RNAcentral.
AGAGUUUGAUGGUGGCUCAGGAUGAACGCUAGCUACAGGCUUAACACAUGCAAGUCGAGGGGCAGCAUGGUCUUAGCUUGCUAAGGCCGAUGGCGACCGGCGCACGGGUGAGUAACGCGUAUCCAACCUGCCUUACACUCUUGGACAGCCUUCUGAAAGGGAGAUUAAUACAAGAUGUUAUCAUGAGUAAGCAUUUUCGCAUGAUUAAAGGUUUACCGGUGUAAGAUGGGGAUGCGUUCCAUUAGAUAGUAGGCGGGGUAACGGCCCACCUAGUCUUCGAUGGAUAGGGGUUCUGAGAGGAAGGUCCCCCACAUUGGAACUGAGACACGGUCCAAACUCCUACGGGAGGCAGCAGUGAGGAAUAUUGGUCAAUGGACGAGAGUCUGAACCAGCCAAGUAGCGUGAAGGAUGAAGGUUCUAUGGAUUGUAAACUUCUUUUAUACGGGAAUAAACGAAUCCACGCGUGGAUUUUUGCAUGUACCGUAUGAAUAAGGAUCGGCUAACUCCGUGCCAGCAGCCGCGGUAAUACGGAGGAUCCGAGCGUUAUCCGGAUUUAUUGGGUUUAAAGGGAGCGUAGAUGGGUUGUUAAGUCAGUUGUGAAAGUUUGCGGCUCAACCGUAAAAUUGCAAUUGAUACUGGCAGUCUUGAGUACAGUUGAGGUAGGCGGAAUUCGUGGUGUAGCGGUGAAAUGCUUAGAUAUCACGAAGAACUCCGAUUGCGAAGGCAGCUUACUAACCUGUAACUGACAUUGAUGCUCGAAAGUGUGGGUAUCAAACAGGAUUAGAUACCCUGGUAGUCCACACGGUAAACGAUGAAUACUCGCUGUAGGCGAUAUACGGUCUGCGGCCAAGCGAAAGCAU